This 873-nucleotide ribosomal RNA is filed under the name uncultured marine group I thaumarchaeote. RNAcentral describes it as "SSU rRNA". It matches the Rfam family "Archaeal small subunit ribosomal RNA", at positions 23 to 905 of the family's 1478-position model. The record is from RNAcentral. Lineage: Archaea; Thermoproteati; Nitrososphaerota.
CUGACUGCUAUCGGAUGAUACUAGCCAUGCGAGUCUUGCAGUAAUGCAAGGCAUACGGCUCAGUAACACGUAGUCAACUUACCCUAUGGACGAGGAUAAUCUCGGGAAACUGAGCAUAAUACUCGAUAGAUCAUAAUGCCUGGAAUGGUUUAUGGUUGAAAUGAUUCGUCGCCAUAGGAUGGGACUGCGGCCUAUCAGCUUGUUGGUGAGGUAAUGGCCCACCAAGGCGAUUACAGGUACGGGCUCUGAGAGGAGAAGCCCGGAGAUGGGUACUGAGACAAGGACCCAGGCCCUAUGGGGCGCAGCAGGCGAGAAAACUUUGCAAUGUGCGAAAGCACGACAAGGUUAAUCCGAGUGAUUUCUGCUAAAGAAAUCUUUUGCAAGUCAUAAAACCACUAGUGAAUAAGGGGUGGGCAAGUUCUGGUGUCAGCCGCCGCGGUAAAACCAGCACCUCAAGUGGUCAGGAGGAUUAUUGGGCCUAAAGCAUCCGUAGCCGGCUCUGUAAGUUUUCGGUUAAAUCCAUGUGCUCAACGCAUGGGCUGCCGAAAAUACUGCAUAGCUAGGGAGUGGGAGAGGUAGACGGUACUCGGUAGGAAGGGGUAAAAUCCUUUGAUCUAUCGAUGACCACCUGUGGCGAAGGCGGUCUACCAGAACACGUUCGACGGUGAGGGAUGAAAGCUGGGGGAGCAAACCGGAUUAGAUACCCGGGUAGUCCCAGCUGUAAACGAUGCAGACUCGAUGAUGCAUUGGCAUAUAGCCAGUGCAGUGUCGCAGGGAAGCCGUUAAGUCUGCCGCCUGGGAAGUACGUACGCAAGUAUGAAACUUAAAGGAAUUGGCGGGGGAGCACCACAAGGGGUGAAGCCUGCGGUCAAU